Molecule: long non-coding RNA, 389 nt
Organism: Gossypium arboreum
Lineage: Eukaryota; Viridiplantae; Streptophyta; Magnoliopsida; Malvales; Malvaceae
Exons: 3
Source: RefSeq, a predicted model, not a curated record
AAAAGAAAAAGAAAGAAAGUUACAGAGAACAAAACAAGAAAGGAAGAAAGAAAGGAGAAAAGAAAAGAAAAGGAAAAACUAGGGAUUUGAAGCUUUAAACUUUAAAAGCUAACAAGGAACUCGAGGCAUUGGCACACAAAGGAAAGAAGAAGGUUAUCGAGGAAUAAUAGAGUAAAUUCGGGUUAAUAGGAGUCCAGUGUCCCGAUCCAGCAUCCGGACAAUCCCGACUCCAGCAAAAAGAUUUUGGUGAAGUUUUCUUCCCUUAAGUGAAAGUGGCAUGUACAUAGGGAUUUUCAAGGUUAUUUUGGUAUGUUAUAUAAUUUUUGUUGUAAAGAAAGGUAUUUGGUGUUUUGAUGAUUAAAUUAGUGGAAUGGUGGAACUUGUUAUAA